This 180-nucleotide ribosomal RNA is filed under the name uncultured Glomeromycotina. RNAcentral describes it as "partial small subunit ribosomal RNA". Lineage: Eukaryota; Fungi; Glomeromycota. The record is from RNAcentral.
AACCUGGUUAGGUGGUCUGCCUUACGGUACGUACUGCUCGGCCGGGUUCUACCUCUUGGUGAGCCGGCAUGUCCUUCACUGGGUGUGUCGGGGAACCAGGACUUUUACCUUGAGAAAAUUAGAGUGCUCAAAGCAGGCAUGUGCCGGAAUAAUUGCGCUGGGAAUAAUGGAAUAGGACCU